GAUGAACGCUGGCGGCGUGCCUAAUACAUGCAAGUCGAGCGAACGGACGAUAAGCUUGCUUCUCUGAUGUUAGCGGCGGACGGGUGAGUAACACGUGUAUAACCUACCUAUAAGACUGGGAUAACUUCGGGAAACCGGAGCUAAUACCGGAUAAUAUUUUGAACCGCAUGGUUCAAAAGUGAAAGACGGUCUUGCUGUCACUUAUAGAUGGAUCCGCGCUGCAUUAGCUAGUUGGUAAGGUAACGGCUUACCAAGGCAACGAUGCAUAGCCGACCUGAGAGGGUGAUCGGCCACACUGGAACUGAGACACGGUCCAGACUCCUACGGGAGGCAGCAGUAGGGAAUCUUCCGCAAUGGGCGAAAGCAUGACGGAGCAACGCCGCGUGAGUGAUGAAGGUCUUCGGAUCGUAAAACUCUGUUAUUAGGGAAGAACAUAUGUGUAAGUAACUGUGCACAUCUUGACGGUACCUAAUCAGAAAGCCACGGCUAACUACGUG
RNAcentral lists this ribosomal RNA (497 nucleotides) under uncultured bacterium. RNAcentral's name for it is "partial 16S ribosomal RNA". It matches the Rfam family "Bacterial small subunit ribosomal RNA", at positions 28 to 507 of the family's 1533-position model. The record is from RNAcentral.